RNAcentral lists this ribosomal RNA (483 nucleotides) under uncultured bacterium. RNAcentral's name for it is "partial 16S ribosomal RNA". It matches the Rfam family "Bacterial small subunit ribosomal RNA", at positions 30 to 506 of the family's 1533-position model. The record is from RNAcentral.
AUUGAACGCUGGCGGCAGGCCUAACACAUGCAAGUCGAGCGGAUGAAGGGAGCUUGCUCCUGGAUUCAGCGGCGGACGGGUGAGUAAUGCCUAGGAAUCUGCCUGGUAGUGGGGGAUAACGUCCGGAAACGGGCGCUAAUACCGCAUACGUCCUGAGGGAGAAAGUGGGGGAUCUUCGGACCUCACGCUAUCAGAUGAGCCUAGGUCGGAUUAGCUAGUUGGUGGGGUAAAGGCCUACCAAGGCGACGAUCGGUAACUGGUCUGAGAGGAUGAUCAGUCACACUGGAACUGAGACACGGUCCAGACUCCUACGGGAGGCAGCAGUGGGGAAUAUUGGACAAUGGGCGAAAGCCUGAUCCAGCCAUGCCGCGUGUGUGAAGAAGGUCUUCGGAUUGUAAAGCACUUUAAGUUGGGAGGAAGGGCAGUAAGUUAAUACCUUGCUGUUUUGACGUGACCAACAGAAUAAGCACCGGCUAACUUCGU